GAAGUUGGAGUCGCUAGUAAUCGCAGAUCAGCAACGCUGCGGUGAAUACGUUCCCGGGCCUUGUACACACCGCCCGUCACGUCAUGAAAGUCGGUAACACCCGAAGCCGGUGGCCUAACCCCUUGUGGGAGGGAGCCGUCGAAGGUGGGAUCGGCGAUUGGGACGGAGUCGUAACAAGGUAGCCGUACCGGAAGGUGCGGCUGGAUCACCUCCUUU
Molecule: ribosomal RNA, 216 nt
Filed under: Nocardia veterana
Lineage: Bacteria; Bacillati; Actinomycetota; Actinomycetes; Mycobacteriales; Nocardiaceae
Description: partial 16S ribosomal RNA
Rfam family: Bacterial small subunit ribosomal RNA
Source: RNAcentral